UACGUAGGGCGCAAGCGUUAUCCGGAAUUAUUGGGCGUAAAGAGCUCGUAGGCGGUUUGUCGCGUCUGCCGUGAAAGUCCGGGGCUCAACUCCGGAUCUGCGGUGGGUACGGGCAGACUAGAGUGCAGUAGGGGAGACUGGAAUUCCUGGUGUAGCGGUGGAAUGCGCAGAUAUCAGGAGGAACACCAAUAGCGAAGGCAGCUCGCUGGGACGUUACUGACACUAAGGCGCGAAAGCGUGGGGAGCGAACAGG
This 253-nucleotide ribosomal RNA is filed under the name uncultured bacterium. Its description in RNAcentral is "partial 16S ribosomal RNA". It matches the Rfam family "Bacterial small subunit ribosomal RNA", at positions 524 to 776 of the family's 1533-position model. The record is from RNAcentral.